ACCACACCGCUAGCGCCUCUGAACCUCGCCAGGCACGUCCGGUUCUGCGGCCCCCACUCCGCCCCCGCCUGCCGGGAGCCGCGCAGUGAGUUACUGACUCCGCCGGCGCGCACUUCAUUUAUUCAAUAGCUCUGGGCCUGAAAAACACCGGGGAAAUUGCAUCCCAUUUUCCCCAAGCCCAUUAGCAACCAGCGGUCUCAUUCUCGAUGAUUCCGCUGAGCCACCCCGGCUCUAGGGGAGGGGGUUUUAUUCUGCCUCUGCCGCCACCCCCACCCACCCUCAGAAGGGCACCAGCUUUUCCAAUCUGUGAACCCCAAAGAACUGCAGGGCAGGGACCCCUGGGGACCCCUCAACCCCCCUCACCCCCGCAGCCUUCAGUACCUCCCGCCGGCAUUCCUCUACCCCCUCUCCAUGUCCACCCAGCCUGGCCCCAAGGGCGGAUUUCUUCUGGCUCUGGGCUCUAUUCUCGGGAGGGGGGCACUGGGGUGGGGGCGCCCAGAUUUGGAGUGGCAGCACCCCCUCCGCCUCCACCUCGGGCUGUGGGACCGCAGGCAGGUGGCUUCUCUGGCCUGCGUUUACUUUUUUUUGGCUGAAAAGGGGAAAGGUGGAACCACUGGCUGGCUGCCAGGAAAGGGCAUUGGGGGAGAUAAGGGGUGUAAAGGCCUUGACGAACGGGGUCCUCUUGGCCAGGAAGCAUCUUGGGGCUGCACUGGGCACACGGCAUUUUCCCCAACCCAGAGGUGGGCGCCCAGUGCCAGUAACUGGUCCAGGCUUCUAAAGGUCCCAUUCCUUUGUCUCUGCAGCCUGGUGCGCCCUGCCAGGCAGUUGCGGGGAGGUGGUGGUCUCUCUGUGGGGUCAUAGUUCAGAGCACGCGUGCUCGGAGACAUAGUUAAAUAGAAGCUGAAUGCGUGAAAUAUGAAUACAUCCUCACGGUCCUCGUCUCGUUAUAGGUUACAAAGUGCCGGGAGCCGUGCAGGGCCAGUGAACCCCUCGCUGAGACUCAGUUUGCUGCCAUCACAAGUGCUCUGAGAAUCCUGGAGAGGGAGGAUAUUGGAGACAAACGGGACUGCUGCCCGCCUUUUAGGCGACCGUUGGAGGCUGCUCUGUGCCGGACACAGGCAGGGAAAAUGUCAGCCCCGCGAGGGAAAUGGC
This 1152-nucleotide long non-coding RNA is filed under the name Homo sapiens (human). Its description in RNAcentral is "non-protein coding lnc-RTL1-3:7". The record is from RNAcentral. Lineage: Eukaryota; Metazoa; Chordata; Mammalia; Primates; Hominidae.